CAUAUACUCCCUCCGUCCCAAAAUUCUUGUCUUAAAUUUGUUUAGAUACGGAUGUACCUACUAAAACGUGACUUGAUACAUCCGUAUUUGGACAAAUCUAAGACAAGAAUUUUGGGACAGAGGGGGUAUUUA
Molecule: non-coding RNA, 132 nt
Organism: Triticum aestivum (bread wheat)
Lineage: Eukaryota; Viridiplantae; Streptophyta; Magnoliopsida; Poales; Poaceae
Source: Rfam